GACGGAGGGUGCAAGCGUUAUUCGGAAUCAUUGGGCGUAAAGAGUGUGUAGGCGGCCGGUUAAGUCAGGUGUGAAAGCCCAGGGCUCAACCCUGGAAGUGCACUUGAAACUGGUCGUCUUGAGUUCGGGAGAGGGUAGCGGAAUUCCUGGUGUAGAGGUGAAAUUCGUAGAUAUCAGGAGGAACACCGGUGGCGAAGGCGGCUACCUGGACCGAAACUGACGCUGAGACACGAAAGCGUGGGGAGUAAACAGG
This 253-nucleotide ribosomal RNA is filed under the name uncultured bacterium. RNAcentral's name for it is "partial 16S ribosomal RNA". It matches the Rfam family "Bacterial small subunit ribosomal RNA", at positions 524 to 776 of the family's 1533-position model. The record is from RNAcentral.